AGUGAACGCUGGCGGUAGGCCUAACACAUGCAAGUCGAACGGCAGCACAGUAAGAGUUUGCUCUUACGGGUGGCGAGUGGCGGACGGGUGAGGCAUACAUCGGAUACUAAUUUUUCGUGGGGGAUAACGUAGGGAAACUUACGCUACUACAGAAUACGACCUACGGGUGAAAGCAGUGGAGAUACGGACCUUGGGCGAUUCAAUGAGACGAUGUCGGAUUAGCUAGUUGGCUGGGUAAGGGCCCACCAAGGCAACGAUCCGUAGCGGGUCUGAGAGGAUGAUCGGCCACACUGGAACUGAGACACGGUCCAGACUCCUACGGGAGGCAGCAGUGGGGAAUAUUCCACAAAGGGCGCAAGCCUGAUCCAGCCAUGCCGCGUGAGUGAAGAAGGCCUUCGGGUUGUAAAACCCUUUUGUUGGGAAAGAACAGCAGCGGGAUAAACCCCCGCUGUUCUGACGGUACCCAAAGAAUAAGCACCGGCUAACUUCGUG
Molecule: ribosomal RNA, 492 nt
Filed under: uncultured bacterium
Lineage: Bacteria
Description: partial 16S ribosomal RNA
Rfam family: Bacterial small subunit ribosomal RNA
Source: RNAcentral